Molecule: transfer RNA, 90 nt
Filed under: Candidatus Saccharimonadota bacterium
Lineage: Bacteria; Candidatus Saccharimonadota
Description: tRNA-Ser
Rfam family: tRNA
About the family: Transfer RNA (tRNA) molecules are approximately 80 nucleotides in length.
Source: RNAcentral
GGAGAGGUGGCCGAGCGGUUUAAGGCGCACGCCUGGAAAGCGUGUUGAGGCGCAAGUCUCUCGCAGGUUCGAAUCCUGUCCUCUCCGCCA